Molecule: long non-coding RNA, 729 nt
Filed under: Vitis vinifera (wine grape)
Lineage: Eukaryota; Viridiplantae; Streptophyta; Magnoliopsida; Vitales; Vitaceae
Description: long non-coding RNA (VVIN_LNC001138)
Source: RNAcentral
UCUUAUUCUCAUCUCGAUCUGCUGAUCAGGAAGAUUGCUGUGGGUGGAUAGGAGUCCACUGCCAUAACAUAAGUGGUCAUGAAGUCACGGAGCUCCACCUCCACGGUUUUGGAUUGGGCGGCAAGGUUAUCCUGCUCUGCUGCAACUAAAAUUUUUGAAUUACUUGGACUUGAGCUCCAAUGAGUUUGGAGGUGCUCCAGUUCCAAGUUUCUUGGGUUCCAUGCGGAGUUUAACAUACCUGAUGGACUAGCCCCCCCUCAGCUUGGAAAUCUUACCGAUCUUCAUUACCUCAGUCUAGGGGGUGGUUCCCAGAAUUAUCCUGAUAUUCUUCAUGGCUUAUAUGUUUGAGGCCCUCAGUUGGAUUUGUCAUAUCUUCUUUGCAAAACCUAUCUAUGGUUGAAGUUGACCUUCACAGGGAAGUUCAUUCCUUUGAAUAUAUCUAUGCUAUCUCUACUUGUCCGAUUGUGAAAUUGAUAGCAUGAAUCCGUCGCUUGGGUAUGUAAAUCUUACAUCUCUCACAUACCUUCAUCUUUCUGGGAAUCAUUUCAAUCAUGGGACACCUAAUUAGCUCCAUGACUUGACCAUUGAUGCUAUGGCAGUGAACUCCUAUCCACCCACGGCAAUCUUCCUCUGCAGUCCAAGAUGAGAGUCGGAGUUGGUUUGCGGGGUCUGAGAGAGCUUGUUUGAAGCUAAGCAGGGCAUUUUUCUGCUUCUCAUUGCAAACCAAGG